GACGAACGCUGGCGGCGUGCCUAAUACAUGCAAGUUGAGCGCUGAAGGUUGGUACUUGUACCGACUGGAUGAGCAGCGAACGGGUGAGUAACGCGUGGGGAAUCUGCCUUUGAGCGGGGGACAACAUUUGGAAACGAAUGCUAAUACCGCAUAAAAACUUUAAACACAAGUUUUAAGUUUGAAAGAUGCAAUUGCAUCACUCAAAGAUGAUCCCGCGUUGUAUUAGCUAGUUGGUGAGGUAAAGGCUCUCCAAGGCGAUGAUACAUAGCCGACCUGAGAGGGUGAUCGGCCACAUUGGGACUGAGACACGGCCCAAACUCCUACGGGAGGCAGCAGUAGGGAAUCUUCGGCAAUGGACGAAAGUCUGACCGAGCAACGCCGCGUGAGUGAAGAAGGUUUUCGGAUCGUAAAACUCUGUUGGUAGAGAAGAACGUUGGUGAGAGUGGAAAGCUCAUCAAGUGACGGUAACUACCCAGAAAGGGACGGCUAACUACGUG
RNAcentral lists this ribosomal RNA (497 nucleotides) under uncultured bacterium. RNAcentral's name for it is "partial 16S ribosomal RNA". It matches the Rfam family "Bacterial small subunit ribosomal RNA", at positions 28 to 507 of the family's 1533-position model. The record is from RNAcentral.